GACGAACGCUGGCGGCGUGCUUAACACAUGCAAGUCGAACGCUGAAGCUCAGCUUUUGUUGGGUGGAUGAGUGGCGAACGGGUGAGUAACACGUGAGUAACCUGCCUCCUUCUUUGGGAUAACGCCCGGAAACGGGUGCUAAUACUGGAUAUUCACUGGUCUUCGCAUGGGGGUUGGUGGAAAGGGUUUUUCUGGUGGGGGAUGGGCUCGCGGCCUAUCAGCUUGUUGGUGGGGUGAUGGCCUACCAAGGCUUUGACGGGUAGCCGGCCUGAGAGGGUGACCGGUAACAUGGGGACUGAGAUACGGCCCAGACUCCUACGGGAGGCAGCAGUGGGGAAUAUGGCACAAUGGGCGCAAGCCUGAUGCAGCGACGCAGCGUGAGGGAUGGAGGCCUUCGGGUUGUGAACCUCUUUCGCACAUGGUUAAGCCGCAACAAUGGUUGUGGUGAGGGUAGUGGGUAAAGAAGCGCCGGCUAACUACGUG
This 483-nucleotide ribosomal RNA is filed under the name uncultured bacterium. RNAcentral's name for it is "partial 16S ribosomal RNA". It matches the Rfam family "Bacterial small subunit ribosomal RNA", at positions 28 to 507 of the family's 1533-position model. The record is from RNAcentral.